Molecule: transfer RNA, 72 nt
Organism: Colletotrichum tofieldiae
Lineage: Eukaryota; Fungi; Ascomycota; Sordariomycetes; Glomerellales; Glomerellaceae
Rfam family: tRNA
About the family: Transfer RNA (tRNA) molecules are approximately 80 nucleotides in length. Their secondary structure includes four short double-helical elements and three loops (D, anti-codon, and T loops).
Source: Rfam
GGGCGAUUGGUUUAGGGGUAUAACGACCGCUUCGCAUGCGGUAGGUCCUAGGUUCGAUUCCUAGAUUGUCCA